This 427-nucleotide ribosomal RNA is filed under the name uncultured bacterium. RNAcentral describes it as "partial 16S ribosomal RNA". It matches the Rfam family "Bacterial small subunit ribosomal RNA", at positions 355 to 774 of the family's 1533-position model. The record is from RNAcentral.
UGGGGAAUAUUGCACAAUGGGCGCAAGCCUGAUGCAGCCAUGCCGCGUGUAUGAAGAAGGCCUUCGGGUUGUAAAGUACUUUCAGCGGGGAGGAAGGUGUUGAGGCUAAUAACCUCAGCAAUUGACGUUACCCGCAGAAGAAGCACCGGCUAACUCCGUGCCAGCAGCCGCGGUAAUACGGAGGGUGCAAGCGUUAAUCGGAAUUACUGGGCGUAAAGCGCACGCAGGCGGUCUGUCAAGGCGGAUGUGAAAUCCCCGGGCUCAACCUGGGAACUGCAUUCGAAACUGGCAGGCUAGAGUCUUGUAGAGGGGGGUAGAAUUCCAGGUGUAGCGGUGAAAUGCGUAGAGAUCUGGAGGAAUACCGGUGGCGAAGGCGGCCCCCUGGACAAAGACUGACGCUCAGGUGCGAAAGCGUGGGGAGCAAACA